Molecule: ribosomal RNA, 216 nt
Filed under: uncultured bacterium
Lineage: Bacteria
Description: partial 16S ribosomal RNA
Rfam family: Bacterial small subunit ribosomal RNA
Source: RNAcentral
CCCUGAAGCGGGGGACAACAGCCUGAAAGGGCUGCUAAUACCGCAUGUGGAUCGCCCUGGCAUCAGGGAUUAUCCAAAGCCGCAUAGCAAUAUGUGGCACUUCAGGAUGGGCCCGCGGCCUAUCAGCUAGUUGGAGGGGUAACGGCCCACCAAGGCUUCGACGGGUAGCUGGUCUGAGAGGACGAUCAGCCGGAUUGGGACUGAGAUACGGCCCAG